This is a long non-coding RNA of Magnolia sinica, 541 nucleotides long. RefSeq lists it as uncharacterized. The record is from RefSeq and is a predicted model, not a curated record. Lineage: Eukaryota; Viridiplantae; Streptophyta; Magnoliopsida; Magnoliales; Magnoliaceae. The transcript has 2 exons.
CUUGUAGUCUACACUGACAAAUAAUUGAUUGACAAAACAUAAACAAUCAUGCGAGAAUCAUCUUAACGCAUAGUAAUUUAUAUCAGUAUAACUGGCUUUCUUAAAAAAAAAAGAAGAUAAACAUUCACAUUGGUCUUACAAGGACCUAUUACUAGUAGUCUAAACAUUAACACAUCCAUCCAAUCUUCUUCUCCUUUCUCUCUCUCUCUCUCUCUCUUAUUUAUUAUUAUUAUUUUUUGUCUGUCAGCACCAAGUCAAUGAGAGAUGAUGGAGUAAUUAAUGUGAUCAAGAAAGCCAUCGAGAAGCUAGGCUUACGACACAAGGAACACAUUUCUGCAUAUGGAGAGGGCAAUGAAAGAAGAUUGACGGGUCGUCAUGAAACUGCAGAUAUCCUCACAUUUUCUUGGGUAAAGAUAUUGGCCGGAGCGGUGUUUGGUUCAAAAUAAUGUGAUAUAAGCUGCUAUUCAUGGUGGUCCGCACUUGGUGAACAACCCAAAAAUGAGCCCUUCACUAAUGAUAUUCCACAAUUUGAGGUCCCUAU